This 339-nucleotide long non-coding RNA is filed under the name Homo sapiens (human). RNAcentral describes it as "HSALNT0255677". The record is from RNAcentral. Lineage: Eukaryota; Metazoa; Chordata; Mammalia; Primates; Hominidae.
GGUGAGUCUGGACGCGGGCGCGGAAGGAGCGCGGCCGGAGGUCCUCAGGAAGAAGCCGCGGGGACUGGCUGCGCUUGACAGGCUGCACUUGGAUGGGAGCACCUGGUGCCUCGGGACUGCUCCGAUGCCCGGGUCUGUGCUGAAUGUGUAAUAUGCGGAACUAUAUUGAAACAUUACAACCAUCUUUUGAUGGCAACACCCUGAGGACCUCCCUUUUCCAGAUGGGGAAACUGAGGCCCAGAAUUGCUAAGUGGCUUGCUUGAGUUGACACAGGGAGCUCCAGGACUCACCCUCAGGCCCAAGUCUGGUUGCCCCCAAACCACAUCCUAGAGAUCCCCA